AGAGCGAACGCUGGCGGCAGGCCUAACACAUGCAAGUCGAGCGGCCGUAGCAAUACGGCAGCGGCAGACGGGAGAGUAACACGUGGGAACGCGCCCUUCGGUUCGGAAUAACUCAGGGAAACUUGGGCUAAUACCGGAUACGCCCUUACGGGGAAAGAUUUAUUGCCGAAGGAACGGCCCGCGUCCGAUUAGCUUGUUGGUGAGGUAACGGCUCACCAAGGCGACGAUCGGUAGCUGGUCUGAGAGGAUGACCAGCCUCACUGGGACUGAGACACGGCCCAGACUCCUACGGGAGGCAGCAGUGGGGAAUAUUGGACAAUGGGCGCAAGCCUGAUCCAGCCAUGCCGCGUGGGUGAUGAAGGCCCUAGGGUUGUAAAGCCCUUUCGGCGGGAAGAUAAUGACGGUACCGCAGAAGAAGCCCGGCUAACUUCGCGCCAGCAGCCGC
This 445-nucleotide ribosomal RNA is filed under the name uncultured bacterium. RNAcentral describes it as "SSU rRNA". It matches the Rfam family "Bacterial small subunit ribosomal RNA", at positions 26 to 518 of the family's 1533-position model. The record is from RNAcentral.